CCUACGGGUUGCAGCAGUGGGGAAUAUUGCACAAUGGGCGCAAGCCUGAUGCAGCGACGCCGCGUGCGGGAUGACGGCCUUCGGGUUGUAAACCGCUUUUGACUGGGAGCAAGCCCUUCGGGGUGAGUGUACCUUUCGAAUAAGCACCGGCUAACUACGUGCCAGCAGCCGCGGUAAUACGUAGGGUGCAAGCGUUAUCCGGAAUUAUUGGGCGUAAAGGGCUCGUAGGCGGUUCGUCGCGUCCGGUGUGAAAGUCCAUCGCUUAACGGUGGAUCCGCGCCGGGUACGGGCGGGCUUGAGG
This 301-nucleotide ribosomal RNA is filed under the name uncultured bacterium. RNAcentral's name for it is "bacterial SSU rRNA". It matches the Rfam family "Bacterial small subunit ribosomal RNA", at positions 338 to 647 of the family's 1533-position model. The record is from RNAcentral.